CAACAAAAGGUGCUCAUAUACUGAAAGUGGAACAGUACAGGGAAGAUCACUGUGGCCUGUGUGCAAGGAUGAUGUGCAAACUCAUGAAGCAUUUCAUAUUUUU
Small nuclear RNA from Budorcas taxicolor (takin), 103 nucleotides. Lineage: Eukaryota; Metazoa; Chordata; Mammalia; Artiodactyla; Bovidae. The record is from RefSeq and is a predicted model, not a curated record.